UAUUCAAGCAAGGCCCCAGUUUUGCAGGGGAAAUAGAAAAGAGCUGCAGCACAUGUGAUGCUGGUCUGAGACUGCUCUGGGGCUGCCAGCACAGGGGGCUCAAAUCUUGGGAUCAACACUUUUCUCCCCUCACCUGCUUCGUGGCAGAAAAUGAAGCAAGUUCCACCUUUUCACUAAAGCUUUUGUUUUUUGGCAGCACAACCUGGCAAUACAGAAGUCUUUCUGCAGUUUGGAAGUCAGUGUCCUAGCACAAGAAACUGUUUUACUUUGAGUGGUCAUCACAAAAGUGGAUUUUUUACUGGUUUCUUUCAUGUUGGUUUGUUGAAGACCUGAAUUAAUCUUAUAAGAAAUGUUUUUAAAAGUUUUCAGAGUUUCCCUUGAGACAAAAGGGCAGAGCCAGCCCCCAGGAGCAUCUGCCAGGCUCUGGAGCUGGAGGGAUGCUACCUCCUGGCAUGGGGAUUAAGAAGUGCUUUUGUGGGAAAAUGUCUGUGUUCAGUAGGAGAAAUGCUUCAGCCUUUUAAAGGCCCCAUGCAAACCAAGCAGAGCAUCCAGCUGCCCAAGCAGAAGGCAGGAGCUGAGCGGGCGAUAGCAAGAUCCCACCCAACCACCCAGGAAUCAAAAUGCCAUCUCAUGAGUCACUUAGAAACAGCAAGCAAAAUUCAAGAAUGCAGAGAGGAAUGUGCUGGGGGCUGAAUACGGCACUUUAAGCUCCUCUUGCUGCAGAGGUUAACCAGGAAGCCUUGACAGACAGAUCCCAACCCCACACAUCCCACCAGCAGCUUUGGUUUGGACAAACUCUAGCGUCUUCUGAUAUCACCAAAGACCAUUGGAAACCUCUCGGCCAACUUUCCUUCUCAGCACAUCUACUUCCCCUUACUGGCUUUAUGGGAGGGCAGAGAGGAUUUUUUUGCCCUAAAUGACAGUUCUGCAAUACCCCUGCCAGUCUGGUGGUUGCUGCAGGCUUCAGCUUUCCCUCGAGACCCUGAGGUGGGUUGACUGCACCUUAUAAAGCGAAGGCAGAGAGGAUCAUUUGCUGAGAUCCGUAGCAGGAUGUGAUCCCAGUCAAGCCUCAGCAGGGGAGUCACAAUAUCAGUUGGAAGAGCUUGCCCAUCGCUGCUUUGAGCCCCGAACCUUUCGGGUGCUGCACCCCUGAAGCUGGGGAGGAGCUGCGGAGGCGCAGACAGACAACGCAGGCUCUGUCGGCCCUAUGCUCUUGCUCUUUCUACCUCUGCCGGGGGAACAGAGGAGACAGCCGGAGUGCCGUGGCAGGCAUUUGGGACUCAAGCUGGCUCUGGAUGAAUAGAGAUACGGGGGGCUUUGCAUUUAAUAUUUUAAAGCGAGAGGGAGCGGCGCAGCAUGCAGCGCUCGGCUCAACAGGAACAACAUGUUAUUUACAGGUUGCUGGGCUCUCGCCUCGGGGCCCGUAUUUCUCUUUCACUCUCGAGGGACGCACUCCUGGCUCCGGUGGCAAUGAGGCACAGGCCACGGGGAGGAGGCUGGCAGCUGGGAGCACAAGUGCAGGACAUAAAUUAGGGCUCCGUCUGCUUCCCGAGCUCUCUCGGGGAUGUAGCU
Alligator sinensis (Chinese alligator) is the source of this 1572-nucleotide long non-coding RNA. RefSeq lists it as uncharacterized. The record is from RefSeq and is a predicted model, not a curated record. The transcript is spliced from 4 exons. Lineage: Eukaryota; Metazoa; Chordata; Crocodylia; Alligatoridae.